AGCUUUGCGCAGUGGCAGUAUUGUAGCCAAUGAGGUUUAUCCAAGGCGCAAUUAUUGCUAAUUGAAAACAAUAAUCUUUAUUGAUGUUUCAGACUUCCUAUAAUUUCAUUUGGGUGGUAUCUAGAGGUAAGAUUGGACGUGAUAUCAGUUA
RNAcentral lists this small nuclear RNA (151 nucleotides) under Canis lupus familiaris (dog). Its description in RNAcentral is "U4 spliceosomal RNA (multiple genes)". The stretch from base 1 to 129 matches the Rfam family "U4 spliceosomal RNA". Rfam says of the family: U4 small nuclear RNA (U4 snRNA) is a component of the major U2-dependent spliceosome. The structure of U4 snRNA from yeast and human has been reported. U4 snRNA presents a k-turn RNA motif in the 5p-SL related to recognition of Snu13 protein. The record is from RNAcentral. Lineage: Eukaryota; Metazoa; Chordata; Mammalia; Carnivora; Canidae.